This 557-nucleotide ribosomal RNA is filed under the name Neoarthrinium moseri. RNAcentral's name for it is "eukaryotic LSU rRNA". The stretch from base 188 to 341 matches the Rfam family "5.8S ribosomal RNA". Lineage: Eukaryota; Fungi; Ascomycota; Sordariomycetes; Amphisphaeriales; Apiosporaceae. The record is from RNAcentral.
UGAACCUGCGGAGGGAUCAUUAUAGAGUUUAUAAAACUCCCAAACCCAUGUGAACUUACCUUUGUUGCCUCGGCGGAGCCUACCCUGUAGCUACCCUAUAAGGUGGUUACCCUGUAGCGCCCCGCCGGUGGAAUUUCAAACUCUUGUUAUUUACAAUGAAUCUGAGCGUCUUAUUUUAAUAAGUCAAAACUUUCAACAACGGAUCUCUUGGUUCUGGCAUCGAUGAAGAACGCAGCGAAAUGCGAUAAGUAAUGUGAAUUGCAGAAUUCAGUGAAUCAUCGAAUCUUUGAACGCACAUUGCGCCCAUUAGUAUUCUAGUGGGCAUGCCUGUUCGAGCGUCAUUUCAACCCUUAAGCCUAGCUUAGUGUUGGGAAUCUACUAUAUUGUAGUUCCUGAAAAACAACGGCGGAACUGUAGUGUCCUCUGAGCGUAGUAAUUCUUUAUCUCGCUUUUGUCAGGUGCUAUAGCUCUUGCCGCUAAACCCCCAAUUUCUUAUGGUUGACCUCGGAUCAGGUAGGAAUACCCGCUGAACUUAAGCAUAUCAAUAAGGCGGAGGA